Molecule: ribosomal RNA, 477 nt
Filed under: uncultured bacterium
Lineage: Bacteria
Description: bacterial SSU rRNA
Rfam family: Bacterial small subunit ribosomal RNA
Source: RNAcentral
GAACGCUGGCGGCGUGCUUAACACAUGCAAGUCGAACGAGAAUCAAUGGAUCAAGACUUCGGUCAAGUGAAGUUGAGGACAGUGGCGGACGGGUGAGUAACGCGUGAGGAACCUGCCUCGGAGUGGGGAAUAACAGUUGGAAACAGCUGCUAAUACCGCAUAAUGCAUACGGAUCGCAUGGUCUGUAUGCCAAAGAUUUAUCGCUCUGAGAUGGCCUCGCGUCUGAUUAGCUAGUUGGCGGGGUAACGGCCCACCAAGGCGACGAUCAGUAGCCGGACUGAGAGGUUGGCCGGCCACAUUGGGACUGAGACACGGCCCAGACUCCUACGGGAGGCAGCAGUAGGGAAUAUUGGGCAAUGGGCGCAAGCCUGACCCAGCAACGCCGCGUGAAGGAAGAAGGCUUUCGGGUUGUAAACUUCUUUUGUCAGGGACGAACAAAUGACGGUACCUGACGAAUAAGCCACGGCUAACUACGUG